Molecule: ribosomal RNA, 453 nt
Filed under: uncultured organism
Description: partial 16S ribosomal RNA
Rfam family: Bacterial small subunit ribosomal RNA
Source: RNAcentral
CGUACACUCCUACGGGAGGCAGCAGUGGGGAAUAUUGGACAAUGGGCGCAAGCCUGAUCCAGCCAUGCCGCGUGAGUGAUGAAGGCCCUAGGGUUGUAAAGCUCUUUCACCGGUGAAGAUAAUGACGGUAACCGGAGAAGAAGCCCCGGCUAACUUCGUGCCAGCAGCCGCGGUAAUACGAAGGGGGCUAGCGUUGUUCGGAUUUACUGGGCGUAAAGCGCACGUAGGCGGACUAUUAAGUCAGGGGUGAAAUCCCGGGGCUCAACCCCGGAACUGCCUUUGAUACUGGUAGUCUUGAGUUCGAGAGAGGUGAGUGGAAUUCCGAGUGUAGAGGUGAAAUUCGUAGAUAUUCGGAGGAACACCAGUGGCGAAGGCGGCUCACUGGCUCGAUACUGACGCUGAGGUGCGAAAGCGUGUGGAGCAAACAGGAUUAGAAACCCCUGUAGUCCCAUG